CGGGGCGUAGCAAUACGUCAGCGGCGGACGGGUGAGUAACACGUGGGAACAUGCCCUUCGGUACGGAACAACUCAGGGAAACUUGAGCUAAUACCGUAUGCGCCGGCAACGGGAAAGAUUUAUCGCCGAAGGAUUGGCCCGCGUCCGAUUAGCUAGUUGGUGAGGUAACGGCCCACCAAGGCACCGAUCGGUAGCUGGUUUGAGAGAACGACCAGCCACACUGGGACUGAGACACGGCCCAG
RNAcentral lists this ribosomal RNA (242 nucleotides) under uncultured bacterium. RNAcentral's name for it is "partial 16S ribosomal RNA". It matches the Rfam family "Bacterial small subunit ribosomal RNA", at positions 67 to 334 of the family's 1533-position model. The record is from RNAcentral.